AUACGAGUUUGAUCCUGGCUCAGAACGAACGCUGGCGGCAUGCCUAACACAUGCAAGUCGAACGAGACCUUCGGGUCUAGUGGCGCACGGGUGCGUAACGCGUGGGAAUCUGCCCUUGGGUUCGGAAUAACUCAGAGAAAUUUGAGCUAAUACCGAAUGAUGUCGCAAGACCAAAGAUUUAUCGCCCAAGGAUGAGCCCGCGUAGGAUUAGCUUGUUGGUGAGGUAAAAGCUCACCAAGGCGACGAUCCUUAGCUGGUCUGAGAGGAUGACCAGCCACACUGGGACUGAGACACGGCCCAGACUCCUACGGGAGGCAGCAGUGGGGAAUAUUGGACAAUGGGCGAAAGCCUGAUCCAGCAAUGCCGCGUGAGUGAUGAAGGCCUUAGGGUUGUAAAGCUCUUUACCAGGGAUGAUAAUGACAGUACCUGGAGAAUAAGCUCCGGCUAACUCCGUG
RNAcentral lists this ribosomal RNA (455 nucleotides) under uncultured bacterium. Its description in RNAcentral is "bacterial SSU rRNA". It matches the Rfam family "Bacterial small subunit ribosomal RNA", at positions 1 to 507 of the family's 1533-position model. The record is from RNAcentral.